UUUUAUUCGCGUUAGUGACCGCGGCGGCAUCCCCGCAGCAAAGCAAGGGAUUAAGCCAAGGGCACGACCGACG
RNAcentral lists this small RNA (73 nucleotides) under Arenibacter algicola. RNAcentral describes it as "Flavo-1 RNA". Lineage: Bacteria; Pseudomonadati; Bacteroidota; Flavobacteriia; Flavobacteriales; Flavobacteriaceae. The record is from RNAcentral.